Molecule: ribosomal RNA, 301 nt
Filed under: uncultured bacterium
Lineage: Bacteria
Description: partial 16S ribosomal RNA
Rfam family: Bacterial small subunit ribosomal RNA
Source: RNAcentral
AGUAGCCACGGGAAAACGAAGGGGGCUAGCGUUGUUCGGAAUUACUGGGCGUAAAGGGCGCGUAGGCGGCCAUUCAAGUUAGAUGUGAAAGCCCUGGGCUUAACCUAGGAAUUGCAUUUGAUACUGUUUGGCUUGAGUUCGGGAGAGGUAAGUGGAAUUCCGAGUGUAGAGGUGAAAUUCGUAGAUAUUGGGAAGAACACCGGUGGCGAAGGCGGCAACCUGGUCCAUAACUGACGCUGAGGCGCGAAAGCGUGGGGAGCAAACAGGAUUAGAUACCCCGGUAGUCCCUGUCUCUUAUACA